RNAcentral lists this ribosomal RNA (441 nucleotides) under uncultured bacterium. RNAcentral's name for it is "bacterial SSU rRNA". It matches the Rfam family "Bacterial small subunit ribosomal RNA", at positions 339 to 796 of the family's 1533-position model. The record is from RNAcentral.
CUACGGGAGGCAGCAGUAGGGAAUUUUCCACAAUGGACGAAAGUCUGAUGGAGCAACGCCGCGUGCAGGAUGAAGGCCUUCGGGUCGUAAACUGCUUUUAUGUGCGAGGAUUAUGACAGUAACACAUGAAUAAGGGUCGGCUAACUACGUGCCAGCAGCCGCGGUCAUACGUAGGACCCAAGCGUUAUCCGGAAUUACUGGGCGUAAAGAGUUGCGUAGGUGGCAGAGUAAGUAAGAUGUGAAAGCGUGCGGCUCAACCGUAUAGACAUAUCUUAAACUGCUCAGCUAGAGAAUGAGAGAGGUAGAUGGAAUUUCCAGUGUAGGAGUAAAAUCCGUAGAUAUUGGUAGGAACACCGAUGGCGUAGGCAGUCUACUGGCUCAUUUCUGACACUAAGGCACGAAAGCGUGGGGAGCAAACAGGAUUAGAAACCCCUGUAGUCC